UUUCUCUUAUCUCCCCAUUAUUCCCUCUUCUUUGUUCACUAUUAUUUGAACUGAAUGCAACACGAGGAGACACUAUAAAUUUCAUUACCCCAUAUCUUUUAAAUUUGUUGCAAGGAUUGCACACUUAGAACUGAAACAAAUGCCUUUUUUUUUUUUUUUUUUGUUUUCUGUGUUGGUUUUCUCACAUUUUCUUUACUAUGGUUUCACCUCACUUGAAGAUAUAUUUAAAUUCUUCACCAAAUUUCAAAUUCCAAAAACGGUCUUCUGUAAUAUAUAUAUAUAUGAAUUAUUUGAAUUAAACAAAGAAACUUGUAAGUGAAAGCAGUAUUUAUAAGCUUAAUUUUCAAAGCCCAAAUUAUUAUCAAAAUGGUCAGACCCUGACCUUUUUGUUUUUCCUGAGGUCUGGUUGGAGCAUACUCAGGUUCCUAUGGAUUAUGUAUAUUUGAAUGAGCACGAGUUGUUUGUCUCCAUCAGGAACUAAAACUUCAUUAACAAUAAAUUUUGUUAAGUUAUUCUUACAAAAUAGUUGAAGAUCGGCAUCUUGAAGCCUAACAAAAAAAAUAAAAAUAAAAAAGGAUUAUGCAUUCUCUUAUGUGUUCAUAGUUUUAUAAUGUUGUACCCCAUCUGGAACUGACGGUGAUUGUUUGAGAGAAUUCCGCUCUCUCACUCUCGUGUCUUUUCCUUUAUCUUGUUCUACUGAAGUGUGCGUCUGUUUGAACGCUUUGCUGAAGAUGCAAGUGAACAAAUGACUUUAUACAUGUUAAGUUCCUGACAAUUAAAUUACUCUUGGACGUCAUGCAGAGCACCAGUACUUGAGAAAGCCUCUAAAUCUGUUUGGGAAUUAAUUUUGGACAACAAUGGAUUAGGCAAAGAAAUAAACGACACGGUGGAAAAAGUAUUUUGUCGAUUGAGUGGCAAGGAACCUCCAUUGUUUCUUCCUCAAAAUGGGGAUAUGCCACCAGUAAAAGAAACUGAGCACGAGAAAGGCAAGGGAAAAGAACCUGAAGAUAAUUAUCACAAGGAGAAAUCACAACCUCUUAGGAAAAGGAGUUUCAAUGACAUGAAUGGCAAAGAGGAAAGCACUAUUGCAGAUGGAGCUGGAGAAAGUCUAGCCGUACCUGAAGAACAUAGUAGGUCACCUUAGUUGAGUUUGAAGACAUAAAAAUCUAUUGAACCGUGCUCUAUAAUGACAGAUCUUCGAGUUGUAGAAUGUGAUCAUUGGUUCGAGCUCUUUCAACUUAAUCUGACGCGCAUGGCCUGUGUUGAGCAAGAACAAAAUUUGACAAUGUGCACGGUGCACACACAAUUUAUUGGAGUCCAAAAUUUUGUUUGUGUUGAUGUAGGUGAACACUUCUGUGAACUUUAAUGUUCCCCUUAACUUUAUGUUUAGGAAAUAGGAUGGUUAGUCGUAAAAGACUAGCUUUUGUUUGUAAUCUAAUCUAUCUACCCAUGUGAAUGCUGUGAAAAGCCACAUAAAUAUUGAUUGGCCUUGUUGUGCAGUACUCAGAAGACUAAAUAGAUGAAGCUUUCAAGAACUUUCUUUGUUCCGUUUUUGAGUGUGGUGUG
Molecule: long non-coding RNA, 1566 nt
Filed under: Cucumis sativus (cucumber)
Lineage: Eukaryota; Viridiplantae; Streptophyta; Magnoliopsida; Cucurbitales; Cucurbitaceae
Description: long non-coding RNA (CSAT_LNC000517)
Source: RNAcentral